CACGUAGGGCGCGAGCGUUGUCCGGAAUUAUUGGGCGUAAAGAGCUCGUAGGCGGCCUGUUGCGUCCGCUGUGAAAGCCCGGGGCUUAACCCCGGGUCGGCAGUGGAUACGGGCAGGCUAGAGGUAGGUAGGGGAGAAUGGGAAUUCCCGGUGUAGCGGUGAAAUGCGCAGAUAUCGGGAGGAGCACCGGUGGCGAAGGCGGUUCUCUGGGCCUUACCUGACGCUGAGGAGCGAAAGCGUGGGGGAGCGAACAGG
Molecule: ribosomal RNA, 255 nt
Filed under: uncultured bacterium
Lineage: Bacteria
Description: partial 16S ribosomal RNA
Rfam family: Bacterial small subunit ribosomal RNA
Source: RNAcentral